This 253-nucleotide ribosomal RNA is filed under the name uncultured bacterium. Its description in RNAcentral is "partial 16S ribosomal RNA". It matches the Rfam family "Bacterial small subunit ribosomal RNA", at positions 524 to 776 of the family's 1533-position model. The record is from RNAcentral.
UACAUGGGGUGCAAACGUUGCUCGGAAUUAUUGGGCGUAAAGCGCGCGUAGGCGGUUACUCAAGUCGGAUGUGAAAGCCCUCGGCUUAACUGAGGAAGUGCACCCGAAACUGAGUAGCUAGAGUACUAAAGAGGGUCGCGGAAUUCCCGGUGUAGAGGUGAAAUUCGUAGAUAUCGGGAGGAACACCGGUGGCGAAGGCGGCAUCCUGGACCGGUAUUGACGCUGAGGCGCGAAAGCUAGGGGAGCAAACGGG